UAUUUUUCUCUCCCCCUGUGAGCUACUCAAUCUUCUCGCAGCUGAUCUUUUGGACCCAGGCCGUGAUCUGUCUUCUGGUCAUAGAUGCUGAAGUUUUUCUGGCCUUUCUGUUCUGUUUUUUCUUGUGUUUUUGUAGUUUCUGGUUUUAGUUUUCUGUUUGUGAUGUUCUUGCUUUUGGGGCCUUGCCCCUUGGAUGUACCAAAAAAAGAAAGAAAAAAAGAAGAAAGAAAGGGUAACAGAGCUUGGUUCGGCCACCUGCGUCUUGGUGGAUUUGGAUCAACCAGGGUUGAAGGGUUUGUUGUUGUUGUUGUGGUUGAUGGGGUGGGGUGACGAGGAACAAGCAUGUGUUUGCCACCAAGAACAUACCGAGCGGAUUAGAGGGUAAAAGGGUCUCAUUUGUUGUGGGGCCACACCAUCUAGCCGGCUAUCUUCUAAAAACUCACCUCUCAAUUAGCUUUUUCAACAGUGCAGAUAGAUGGGUAAAAGGCACAAAUUGAGGAAUGAUAUGCAUUUGGUUUGCCUGGGUUUUCAGCAUUUUACGUGUGAACCAAACACAUGCUUUCCAAAAACCUAUCUUUAUUUGUCUGGAUUUUUUUCAAAAACCUACCAACCAAACGCUCCCUAGAAUCGCAGCAGUUCCCUAUUUUGUCUUAUGCUGAUUUCUACCAGUUGGCUGGGGUCGUUGCUGUUCAGGUCACCGGUGGGCCUGAAAUUCCUUUCCACCCUGGAAGAAAGGUAUAGUAUAACAAGUUCUUAGUCUCUAUUUAUUUUAUAUUAAGAUUUUUUUUGCAGUUGUAUAUUAUUAUUUUUUCCUAUUGUUUACUUUUUCCUUGACGAGGUGCGUUGACAUAAAUUUACGAUAGUUGAUGUAUGGAAGGAUUAAGGAAUGUGCGAAUGGAAUUGCUCUCUUCACAGUCGUAUAUAAGAACAUUAUGUGUCUUUUUGACUGUUUUUGUAAUGAUGCCGGUACACCAGUAUUGACAAAUCUGCGCCACCUCCUGAGGGUCGCUUGCCUGAUGCAACAAAGGGUGCUGGCCAUUGGAGCACUGAUGGUUUCAAGAUCUCAUCUUAACGGUGGACACUUUUUUUUAGUGUAUAUUUCAUUCAUACUAUUUGUUAUUAUGAUAACGGUGACACUCUUUUCUUAGUGUAUAUUUCAUGAUACUAUUUGUUAUCAUGAUUUAAUUU
Molecule: RNA transcript, 1188 nt
Organism: Gastrolobium bilobum
Lineage: Eukaryota; Viridiplantae; Streptophyta; Magnoliopsida; Fabales; Fabaceae
Gene name: L-ascorbate peroxidase, cytosolic-like
Exons: 4
Source: RefSeq, a predicted model, not a curated record